This is a long non-coding RNA of Brassica napus (rape), 2021 nucleotides long. RefSeq lists it as uncharacterized. NCBI's taxonomy places the organism in Eukaryota, Viridiplantae, Streptophyta, Magnoliopsida, Brassicales, Brassicaceae. The transcript is spliced from 2 exons. The record is from RefSeq and is a predicted model, not a curated record.
AUCCUCUCUCCUUUUUAAAACUUUUUUCUUUGUUUUGAGAAAUUUAAAUCUUUCUUAGAAACCUAAUUUUUUAGAUUCGUAUUCCGACGACUCUGUACAUCAUCAUCAUGUCUCUUACACGAAUCAUCAAGUGUUUGAAAAUAUCAAUCAAUAUAAUAUAAAUUAGAGAUGCCAAAAUGGAUUAUAACCCACGGGCCAUAACCACGAGACAUGUUCAAGUAACCCGAGUGGAUCUAGACAUAUAUAUUGUGAAGGAAAAGUAAAGCAAGAUUUUCGUGAUACGAAAAGAUUAAAAAAGUAUUCUUUGUGGGUGAUACGAGGAACGUGACAUUGCUUCUUAGAGAUUUUCUGCAUUAUCCUAGCCAAGACAGUUGCUGGAUAAUUCCACUUAACUUGAGGAACAAGUUAAGUCAUAAAAGUGAAGUUUGAUGGGUUAAGGAAAAAGAAAAACAUAUCGAACUUAGGAAUAUUUUAAUAUUAUUAUUAGGUUAAGAAGUAGCUUAGUCCUAUAUAAAGAAGUCUCGUGGACAAAUGUAAUAUCAAAAGAAACAUAUUGAGAGAUUUAGUUUUGAGUGAGUUUCUAAAUCUAAUAAAAAGAUAACUUCUUAGAAGGAUUAUCCUGGCCUAGACCGAAUGGAAAUGCGGGAGGAGAUAUUUCAUUGCGGAGGCUCCUGGUGAUAGAAGAGAUUGGAUCUCUUAAGUAGCCUGGCGCGGAGUCAUAUAUGAUGAGGUGAUCUUGGAUGGAAACCGGAGCUUCUAGCUCUAGUGGUAAAGGGCUUACACCUUUGAGUACUGCCACUUGGGUUCGAGUCCCGGCCACUGGAGAAUUAACAUUUCGGCAUCGCCAGGGACAGAGGACCGACACGUGGCAACACGUGACUAGUCUGGAUCACUUAUGUGGAGCCAGGAUACCUCUGUAUAAUUCAAAAAAAAAAAGAUCUUCGAUGGAAUCGUGGUCCAAGAUUCGCAUUACAAUGGUUUGCAAAAUCCAUCUUAUGGCGUAUGGCUUUAGUGACGAUGCCUUGUGGGCAUGUGACUUAUUAGUUGAUAAGAAUCAUCCGGUCUAAAGAGAACAUAGUUGGACAAGAUGAUAGAUCAGUCGAUAUGCUUCAUGAGCAUGGUGUGUUCCUGUUUAUGAGCAGGAGGUUGUGGCCUGAGCCAGCAGAGCACUGCAGAGGAAAUGCUUGACCUGGACGAAGGAAAAAAACGUUAUAAAGGCAGUUCUCCAUGGUAUGUAUGUUCUGACUCUGGUUUGUUGUCGAACCUUUUGGAGAUUCUUCUGCCUUUGAAUUUUAUUAUUCUGUAGGAUAUUCUUGUUGUGCCUAGCGGAUCAUGAUUUCAAUGUCAAAGUAAAUUCAAAUUUCAAGAAUUGAUUUUUGUUUUGAAUAAAGCUAUCUUUCCUUUUAUACUGGCUGUGUAUCCGAGAAAAGGAGCAAUGCCUUUCUUUGGUUCCUUUAUAUCUCUAUUUUAUUUUCAUUUUCAUAUAUGGUAUUCAGAUUUCUUUUUCUCAUGCUGCAACUUCCAUUAGCAUCACUACCUUUUCCAAAUCCGCAGUCCUAUUUUGUAUUCGCAUUGAAGGUAAUCUUCUUGUCUUCUGGUCAUAGAUUCCUAGGGACUAGAUAUGAUAAGUUUUGGUUAUUAUUUUAUUUUUAGAUUAAUUGGCAAGGUUGUCUCUCCGUCGAUUCGUCCCCGGUGUCCAGGUUAGAGAUGGAUGAUAUGUCAGGUCGAAUUCUGUUCCCUUUGUCCUCGGUGGGCGUGGGUGGUAGGGUUAAGCUGAAGGGAAAGCUUGGAUCAGUUAUCUCAGAGUAUGAUAGUUUUUGGGAACCCUCGAUCGACAUGCAAAUCCCAGAACCGAUAGCUUAUUCUAUCGAGAUGCUUUUCAAGGUGGAACCUUCUUCACUGAUAAGAGAAGAAGAUAUGAGGGAAUUGAAGGAGAACUAUUUAUUGCCUACAUUACAUAUGUAAUAUGAUUCAAUGAUGGAUUACAUAUCGAUAAGCAGCUUGACAAAUAAAUACUUAUA